UUAGAGUGCACUUACAAUGAAUGAUGGCAAACUCCGCCAGGUCUGGAAGGAAGCAACGGUAGUCAUUUUUUCAUGUGUUGGUUGUUAUUCUGAGUG
Molecule: signal recognition particle RNA, 96 nt
Filed under: Gammaproteobacteria bacterium
Lineage: Bacteria; Pseudomonadati; Pseudomonadota; Gammaproteobacteria
Description: signal recognition particle sRNA small type
Rfam family: Bacterial small signal recognition particle RNA
About the family: The signal recognition particle (SRP) is a universally conserved ribonucleoprotein involved in the co-translational targeting of proteins to membranes.
Source: RNAcentral